Molecule: ribosomal RNA, 246 nt
Filed under: Blastocystis sp. subtype 1
Lineage: Eukaryota; Bigyra; Opalinata; Blastocystidae
Description: partial 18S ribosomal RNA
Rfam family: Eukaryotic small subunit ribosomal RNA
Source: RNAcentral
GCUUGAAUAGAUUAGCAUGGAAUAAUAAUUGAAGGCUUUCGUGUUCGAUUUGAUUGGUUUGUUCAUGGAAGCAAGGUUAAAAGGAACAGUUGGGGGUAUUCAUAUUCACUAGUUAGAGGUGAAAUUCUCGGAUUUAUGGAAGAUGAACAAGUGCGAAAGCAUUUACCAAGGAUGUUUUCAUUAAUCAAGAACGAAAGCUAGGGGAUCGAAGAGGAUUAGAUACGUUAAAUUUUCUUUUUAAAAAAA